UACGUAGGGUGCUAGCGUUGUUCGGAAUUACUGGGCGUAAAGCGCAUGUAGGCGGCUAUUUAAGUCAGAUGUGAAAGCCCCGGGCUUAACCUGGGACGUGCAUCUGAAACUAUUUAGCUUGAGUACAGGAGAGGGUAGUGGAAUUUCUGGUGUAGUGGUGAAAUACGUAGAUAUCAGAAGGAACAUCGGUGGCGAAGGCGGCUGCCUGGCCUUGUACUGACGCUGAGAUGCGAAAGCGUGGGGAGCAAACAGG
Molecule: ribosomal RNA, 253 nt
Filed under: uncultured bacterium
Lineage: Bacteria
Description: partial 16S ribosomal RNA
Rfam family: Bacterial small subunit ribosomal RNA
Source: RNAcentral